This 373-nucleotide ribosomal RNA is filed under the name Diadophis punctatus (Ringneck snake). Its description in RNAcentral is "partial 16S ribosomal RNA". It matches the Rfam family "Bacterial large subunit ribosomal RNA", at positions 1970 to 2557 of the family's 2925-position model. Lineage: Eukaryota; Metazoa; Chordata; Lepidosauria; Squamata; Dipsadidae. The record is from RNAcentral.
UGUCUAUUAACUGUAGACCAGCAUGAAAGGCAAAAUGAGGGUCUAACUGUCUCUUAUAAUAAAUCAAUUAAACUGAUCUCCUAGUAAAAAAGCUAGAAUAACCACAUAAGACCAGAAGACCCUGUGAAGCUUAAACUAAACUAUUAAACCAAAUAAUAGCUACUUUCGGUUGGGGCGACCUUGGAAAAAAAAAGAACUUCCAAAUAACAUGACUAUAACCCAUACCUUUAGGCCCACAAGCCUCUAAAUGACCCAGUAUAACUGAUAACUGAACCAAGUUACUCCAGGGAUAACAGCGCCAUCUUCUUCAAGAGCCCAUAUCAAAAAGAAGGUUUACGACCUCGAUGUUGGAUCAGGACAUCCUAAUGGUGUA